GAGAGUAUAGCUUAGUGGUAGAGGGCAUGCCUAGCAUGCACAAGGUCCUGGGUUCAGUCCCCAGUACCUCCA
RNAcentral lists this transfer RNA (72 nucleotides) under Camelus bactrianus (Bactrian camel). It matches the Rfam family "tRNA". Rfam says of the family: Transfer RNA (tRNA) molecules are approximately 80 nucleotides in length. Their secondary structure includes four short double-helical elements and three loops (D, anti-codon, and T loops). The record is from Rfam by way of RNAcentral. RNAcentral also lists the same sequence under 3 other names. Lineage: Eukaryota; Metazoa; Chordata; Mammalia; Artiodactyla; Camelidae.